Molecule: ribosomal RNA, 319 nt
Filed under: uncultured eukaryote
Lineage: Eukaryota
Description: partial 18S ribosomal RNA
Rfam family: Eukaryotic small subunit ribosomal RNA
Source: RNAcentral
CCCUUAGAUGUUCUGGGCUGCACGCGUGCUACAAUGGCGUUUCCAGCAAGUCUGCGAACCCGAGAGGGCCAGCGGAUCUUCGAAUUGGCGUCGUGAUCGGGACAGUCGAUUGCAAUUAUUUGACCCAAACGAGGAAUUCCUUGUAAUCGCGAUUCAUCAUAUCGCGCUGAAUACGUCCCUGCCCUUUGUACACACCGCCCGUCGCUCCUACCGAUUGAGCGAUCCGGUAAAUGUUUUGGAUUGGUGCCGGGGCGGCUAGCUGCCGGUCGCUACGAAAUUUUGUGAACCUUAUCGCUUAGAGGAAGGAAAAGUCGUAACA